Non-coding RNA from Mesorhizobium loti, 116 nucleotides. Lineage: Bacteria; Pseudomonadati; Pseudomonadota; Alphaproteobacteria; Hyphomicrobiales; Phyllobacteriaceae. The record is from Rfam.
GAGGGCGGGUCCCUUGGCAUCGGCUUUGAGGAACAGCCCCCAACCAGUCGGAGUUGCUGGGGUACAGAGCCGUGGUGGUGAGCAUGGGCUCAAGAGUCCCAGGCAUCGGGGUAGGU